Molecule: ribosomal RNA, 182 nt
Filed under: uncultured bacterium
Lineage: Bacteria
Description: partial 16S ribosomal RNA
Rfam family: Bacterial small subunit ribosomal RNA
Source: RNAcentral
UCAUGAAGUCGGAAUUGCUAGUAAUGGCAGGUCAGCAUACUGCCGUGAAUACGUUCCCGGGCCUUGUACACACCGCCCGUCACACCAUGAGAGUUGGAGAUACCCGAAGCCUAUGAGCUAACUUUUAGAGGCAGUAGUCGAAGGUAGAAUCAAUGAUUGGGGUGAAGUCGUAACAAGGUACC